This is a long non-coding RNA of Homo sapiens (human), 914 nucleotides long. Ensembl annotates it as Pvt1 oncogene. Its record names the gene PVT1. NCBI's taxonomy places the organism in Eukaryota, Metazoa, Chordata, Mammalia, Primates, Hominidae. The record is from Ensembl.
GGGGAGCCCAGGCUAUGUGCCAGGCCUGGCCUUGCUGUCAGCUUUCUAAGCCAGUCACAAACAUUCUCCUCUCAACUUUAUAAUGGAUGCCCCCCAGCCUCCUCUCCCCUCUCAGGGUGCUCCUGAGGCUAUGAGCAGCUGGCAGUUCCCUGUCUGAGAGGUCCUUCGUACCGCAGGAGAGGCAGCUCUCACCUGAAGGCCUCCCUGGACACCGGUCUCAACUUUGUGUGUUACCAGUUAUGGAGAAUUAUUUUUAGCCUGAUCUUUUGGCCAGAAGGAGAUUAAAAAGAUGCCCCUCAAGAUGGCUGUGCCUGUCAGCUGCAUGGAGCUUCGUUCAAGUAUUUUCUGAGCCUGAUGGAUUUACAGUGAUCUUCAGUGGUCUGGGGAAUAACGCUGGUGGAACCAUGCACUGGAAUGACACACGCCCGGCACAUUUCAGGAUACUAAAAGUGGUUUUAAGGGAGGCUGUGGCUGAAUGCCUCAUGGAUUCUUACAGCUUGGAUGUCCAUGGGGGACGAAGGACUGCAGCUGGCUGAGAGGGUUGAGAUCUCUGUUUACUUAGAUCUCUGCCAACUUCCUUUGGGUCUCCCUAUGGAAUGUAAGACCCCGACUCUUCCUGGUGAAGCAUCUGAUGCACGUUCCAUCCGGCGCUCAGCUGGGCUUGAGGACUUCGCAGGUGAGCAGUAACGGAAAUCAGCCCCGUUUAUUCCUCCCAGCACCUGCCUUAUCCAACUCCCCACGCUGUGGCUGAGUCCCAGCCUGCUAUGGAAGCAUCACUGGACUCCCAUUGAACUCUGUGCAGAUUCGCUGUUCGUAGACAUGGUACCUGAUGGACACCAAGCUACGUACAGCUUCAAGGCCCCUUCUUUCUUUGCUAAUAAAAAAUAAAAAAUAAAAACAUAAUACACGUUAUA